RNA transcript from Olea europaea var. sylvestris, 2802 nucleotides. It is a transcript of the gene named peroxisomal acyl-coenzyme A oxidase 1-like, with no coding region annotated. The transcript is spliced from 16 exons. Lineage: Eukaryota; Viridiplantae; Streptophyta; Magnoliopsida; Lamiales; Oleaceae. The record is from RefSeq and is a predicted model, not a curated record.
GAGACACUAAAAUCACGUGUUAUAUACCCAAUUGAUGUGUCAUAAAUGUUAUGUUAUUACCGAACCACCUUAUAGAACAAAUUAUUUGGCAUGGGGAAGCUCAACAUUUGCUACAAAUAGAUAUAGAUCCAGAUUUUUUUUUUUCUAAAGCCAAAUCUCGUGAAGUAGUCAGGAAAUUCAAGAGAACAAACGUGUUCUUGCGUAUGUAAGUGCAGGGAUUUUGUUAUUUUGGUUUUGUUUUGUCGGUCUGUUGGUGCGUUCUGAGAAAAAUGGAGCGAGUGGAUUAUCUUUCGGAUGAGAGGAAGAGGGCUCAGUUCGAUGUGGAUGCUAUGAAGUAUGUAUGGGCGGGCUCUCGCCACGCAUUUGAAGUUUCUGAUCGAAUUUCUAAGCUCGUCGCCAGUGAUCCGGCUUUCCGAAAGGAUGACAGAACUAUGCUUCCAAGAAAAGAAUUGUUUAAGAAUACUAUUAGGAAGGCAACUUAUGCAUGGAAACGGAUUAUUGAACUUCGUCUAUCCGAAGAGGAGGCAGCUAAGUUAAGGUUUUAUGUUGAUGAGCCCGCUUUUACUGAUCUUCAUUGGGGAAUGUUUAUACCUGCCAUAAAGGGACAGGGCACUGAUGAACAACACCAAAAAUGGUUGCCGUUCGCCUAUAAGAUGCAAAUAAUUGGCUGCUAUGCACAAACUGAACUUGGUCAUGGCUCCAACGUACAAGGUCUUGAAACCACUGCAACAUUUAACCCUAAGACUGACGAAUUCAUACUUCAUAGUCCGACAUUGACUUCAAGCAAAUGGUGGCCUGGUGGACUAGGUAAAGUGUCCACCCAUGCUGUUGUUUAUGCACGCCUUAUUACAGAUGGUAAAGACCAUGGAGUUCAUGGCUUUAUUGUCCAACUACGGAACUUGGAGGACCAUACUCCUCUUCCAGGAAUAACCCUUGGUGAUAUUGGAACAAAAUUUGGAAAUGGAGCAUACAACACCAUGGACAAUGGCGUGUUAAGAUUUGAUCAUGUACGUAUUCCGAGAGACCAAAUGUUGAUGAGGGUUUCACAGGUUACGAGGGAAGGAAAAUAUAAGCAAUCUGAUGUACCCCGGCAGUUGGUCUAUGGGACUAUGGUUUAUGUACGACAAACAAUUGUAGCUGACGCUUCUUGUGCUUUGUCACGAGCUGUUUGUAUUGCUACUAGGUAUAGUGCCGUCCGUAGGCAAUUCGGAUCACAGAAUGGAGGACCUGAAAAUCAGGUCAUUAACUACAAAACUCAGCAAAGUAGGCUCUUCCCUUUGCUAGCUUCUGCUUAUGCCUUCAGAUUUGUUGGUGAAUGGCUAAAAUGGCUAUACACGGAUGUGACCCAGAAACUGCAGGCUAAUGACUUCUCAACAUUGCCUGAGGUUCAUGCAUGCACUGCAGGGUUGAAGUCGCUGACUACUUCUGUCACAGCUGAUGGAAUUGAAGAAUGUCGAAAAUUAUGUGGAGGCCAUGGUUACCUCUGUAGCAGUGGGCUCCCAGAAUUAUUUACAGUUUAUGUUCCUGCUUGUACAUAUGAAGGAGACAACAUUGUGCUGCUUCUACAGGUUGCUAGGUUUCUCAUGAAGACAGCUUCACAGUUGGGAACUGGGAGACAGCCAGUUGGGACGAUAGCCUAUAUGGGAAGAAUUGAACGUCUAAUGCAAUGCUGUUCCGAUGUACAAAAUGCUGAGGACUGGCUAAAGCCAAGUGUAGUAUUGGAGGCAUUUGAGGCAAGGGCUGCCAGAAUGUCUGUUGCUUGUGCUCGAAAUCUGAGCAAAUUCGCCAAUCCAGAAGAAGGUUUUGCUGAGCUAUCAGCUGAUUUAGUUGAGGCAGCCAUCGCUCACUGCCAAUUAAUUGUUGUCUCAAAGUUUAUUGAGAAGCUGCAACAGGACAUUCCCGGUAAAGGUGUCAAGAAACAAUUAGAGAUGCUAUGCAGUGUCUAUUACCUAUUUCUCCUUCACAAGCACCAGGGUGAUUUCAUUGCUACAAGCUGCAUAACUCCGAAGCAGGCUUCGCUUGCUAAUGAUCAGCUCAGAGCCUUGUAUUCGCAGGUUCGUCCAAAUGCUAUAGCUCUUGUUGAUGCAUUCAACUAUACUGACCACUUCUUAGGAUCAAUUCUUGGCCGUUAUGAUGGAAAUGUCUAUCCAAAACUUUACGAGGCAGCGUGGAAGGAUCCUCUAAAUGAAUCAGAUAUACCUGAUGGCUAUCACAAGUAUAUCAGGCCUCUCCUUAAGCAACAACUCCGCGCUGCUAGACUAUAGAAAAUGUUGACUGACCACACCUGGAAUGCAACAGCCAAGGCCGCACCACCACGGUGAUGCCAACUUCAAUUUCUAUGGAAUUCGCUUUGUUGAUAGCUACAACCUCCGCAUUGUGGCAAAGACUGCCCGGUUAUGGGCUACCAGGUUGACUUACCACCUGUCCCUGCCGAUACACCUCAGGGUCGUGGACAGAAACUAAACAGAAUGGGGGAAACCAUAGAUGGUUCUUCAACUCUGCUUGAGAUUAAUGCAGUGGAUAAUUGUGGGACAGAAGACGCAGAUGAUCAAGAAAGUGAAGUUACAACAGGCUUGAGCUUUGAUAUAGAAGAAUUCUUUGACUUCUCAGUUGAAUGGAACUAUGGAUCUGAAUAGUUAAACCACUUUCUUGAACUUGAUGGGGGAUUCUGAAGGAAAUUUGUCCACCAAUGCCUUCGAGUCCAACAUGUAAAUUAUUCCUCGAGAAGAAGAAAGAACUACAAUUACAAUUAACUGAGUAAAAAUAUUGUUCGGAUUCGUAAAUAAGAUCACAAAUUUGUCA